RNAcentral lists this long non-coding RNA (722 nucleotides) under Elaeis guineensis (African oil palm). RNAcentral's name for it is "long non-coding RNA (EGUI_LNC004079)". The record is from RNAcentral. Lineage: Eukaryota; Viridiplantae; Streptophyta; Magnoliopsida; Arecales; Arecaceae.
CCGGAAAGCCAAUACAUAGGAGGGCAUCGGUCGCCUCUAGAUCAUCAUGAGAGCCUUGUAACUCUCUAAAUGAUCAAUCGGAUCGGUGGAGCCGUCAUAUGAUGCCAUCUGUGACAUUUUGAACUGAGACGGGAUCGGCUCAUCCAAGAUACGCUAAGAGAGAGGUUGGGCAAUGUAGAAGCCGAGGUCGUUGAAAGACUUCUGACCUUCCACUUGGACUCGGAUAAGUUAGCAGUCGAUCUCCUAGAAUUUAUGCUGGAAAGCCAAUGCAUAAGAGAGCAUCGGUCGCCCCCUAGAUCAUCAUGAGAGCCUUGUAACUCUCUAAAUGAUCAAUCGGAUCGGUGGAGCCGUUAUAUGGCACCAUCUGCGGUAUCUUGAACUGAGACGGGAUCGGCUCGUCCAAGAUACGCUGAGAGAGAAGUUGGGCAAUGUAGAAGCCGAGGUCGUUGGAGGACUUCCGACCUUCCACUUAGACUCGGGUAAGUUAGCGGUCGAUCUUCUAGAAUUUACACUCGUAGUCAUCGAGCCGCCGUUGCUAAAAAAAUUCAGGGGUAGAAUCUCCUGAAGAACUUGAGGAUGGAGAAGUGGAAGGUACAUGCAGUCUCUUCCUCUUCUUGAUGCUAUGUACACCAAAAGGAGAGGGAGACCGUCGUGAAUGUGAGCAGCAUGAUGAUAAUGCCAAAAAAGUAGUUGCUCGAUUCAAUGAGAACAUCGAGACGGUC